UACGAGGGGGGCGAGCGUUGUUCGGAAUUAUUGGGCGUAAAGGGUGCGUAGGCGGUUCCGCAAGUCCUGUGUGAAAUCUUCGGGCUCAACUCGAAGUCUGCACGGGAAACUGCGGGGCUUGAGUGUGGGAGAGGUGAGUGGAAUUCCCGGUGUAACGGUGAAAUGCGUAGAUAUCGGGAGGAACACCUGUGGCGAAAGCGGCUCACUGGACCAUAACUGACGCUGAGGCGCGAAAGCUAGGGGAGCAAACAGG
RNAcentral lists this ribosomal RNA (253 nucleotides) under uncultured bacterium. RNAcentral describes it as "partial 16S ribosomal RNA". It matches the Rfam family "Bacterial small subunit ribosomal RNA", at positions 524 to 776 of the family's 1533-position model. The record is from RNAcentral.